GUAGAAAUGAUAUGGCCGUAUUGCUUAGGGUUUACUCAGAUGACAGAGAACUCAAGAAAAAGGGUGUACCUUUUGAGGGAUCUUAACACAGUCCUCUUAAGAUGGGAAACAGGAAAGGAUGCUGUCAACUACCAAUGAAUGUCCUCUGUGUCCCACUGCAAUGUCAUCUUGAAUGGAUUUGGAAAUGCCUAUGAGCAUGAGAUAUGCUACAGACUUAGACUCCAACCUUGCGUUGAUGGAGAAAAGCAUUCCCACACCCGAGGUGCACACUGCCCCCCGCCUGAGGGAUCUGCAAGCUCCCCAGCGAGGAAGCGCCCUGCUGACCAGCGUGGUCCCCACCCGCCCCCAGCCGGCGGUGUUUUCCCAGGAUGCAGAGGGCGCGCUGCGCCGGGCAAGAACAGUGGAAACGCUUCUUUCUCACAUGCUUAUCUUUCAGUAAGGGAUGCAAUUCAAUUAUUCCAGCUUUGCUUGUAAAUUCCAAGUUCCUCUUCCCUUCCCCUUAUUAAUAUGCUAAUGUCUUGUAAUAAUGCAUUUUGCACCGGGAACGAAGGGAAGCUGGGCAAUCAAUAAAAAGGAGGCACAAAUUCUAGCUUUAACUUUACCCGGUUCCGGGGCGGGGGCGAGAGUGGGGAGGAGGAAGAGAAGGAAGGAGGGACACGCGGCCCGCAAAACAUAAAAAUGAUCCCUUGUUUUCCGGCGUCCGGGCCGGACUGCUGCGGGAGGCGGCCCUGAGCUCAACUUGCACUGCCGGUCCCUAGGAUGUCGCCUGCUUUUUCAUCCCCGAGCCGCCUCCUGAAAGCGGCGACGCCUGCGGGCACAGUGUGUCCCGGGGCCCGCGCGGUGAGGCCCGGCGCCCCGAGCACUGC
Molecule: long non-coding RNA, 866 nt
Filed under: Fukomys damarensis (Damara mole-rat)
Lineage: Eukaryota; Metazoa; Chordata; Mammalia; Rodentia; Bathyergidae
Description: lncRNA (ENSFDAG00000030842.1)
Source: RNAcentral